Molecule: ribosomal RNA, 380 nt
Filed under: uncultured eukaryote
Lineage: Eukaryota
Description: partial 18S ribosomal RNA
Rfam family: Eukaryotic small subunit ribosomal RNA
Source: RNAcentral
CAAUAGCGUAUAUUAAAGUUGUUGCAGUUAGAACGCUCGUAGUCGGAUUUCGGGGCGGGCCGACCGGUCUGCCGAUGGGUAUGCACUGGUCGGCGCGUCCUUCCUUCCGGAGACCGUCCCUACUCUUAACUGAGCGGGGGCGGGAGACGGGACUUUUACUUUGAAAAAAUCAGAGUGUUUCAAGCAGGCAGCUCGCUCUUGCAUGGAUUAGCAUGGGAUAAUGAAAUAGGACUUUGGUGCUAUUUUGUUGGUUUCGAACACCGAAGUAAUGAUGAGAAGGGACAGUCAGGGGCACUCGUAUUCCGCCGAGAGAGGUGAAAUUCUCAGACCAGCGGAAGACGAACCACUGCGAAAGCAUUUGCCAGGGAUGUUUNCACUGA